UACGUAGGUGGCGAGCGUUAUCCGGAUUUAUUGGGUUUAAAGGGUGCGUAGGCGGCUUUAUAAGUCUUUGGUUAAAGGUAGCAGCUUAACUGUUUUACAUGCCAAGGAUACUGUAGAGCUUGAGUUAUUUGGAGGUAGCUAGAAUUUCCGGUGUAGCGGUGAAAUGCUUAGAUACCGGAAGGAAUACCGAUUGCGAAGGCAGGUUACUACAAAUACACUGACGCUGAUGCACGAAAGCGUGGGGAUCAAACAGG
Molecule: ribosomal RNA, 254 nt
Filed under: uncultured bacterium
Lineage: Bacteria
Description: partial 16S ribosomal RNA
Rfam family: Bacterial small subunit ribosomal RNA
Source: RNAcentral